UUCAUCAUCCUCAGAACCAGAAUCACCCCCAUAUGUUUCUAUCUCCUCUGACCCAGAAUACUCUGACCCUGACUCCCCAACCAUAGCUCAGAUUUUUGCUCAAAAAUUCGCUUCACAAUAACCAACAGAACCUGAAAUAACUUCACCACCACAACAAACAACUACCCUUACUUCUGAAAUACAACCUUCUGGAGACCAACCCUCUGACCAUCUCACUUCUGAUAU
This 225-nucleotide long non-coding RNA is filed under the name Lathyrus oleraceus (garden pea). Its description in RNAcentral is "Pisum sativum (pea) long non-coding RNA (PSAT_LNC034323)". Lineage: Eukaryota; Viridiplantae; Streptophyta; Magnoliopsida; Fabales; Fabaceae. The record is from RNAcentral.